Molecule: small nuclear RNA, 105 nt
Organism: Gracilinanus agilis (Agile Gracile Mouse Opossum)
Lineage: Eukaryota; Metazoa; Chordata; Mammalia; Didelphimorphia; Didelphidae
Source: RefSeq, a predicted model, not a curated record
GUAUUUGUUUUGCCAUCACAGAUACUAAAAUUGGAAUGCUACAGAGAAGAUUAGUAAGACCCUUAAACAAAGAUGAUGUAAAUUUGUGAAGCAUUCCACUUAUUA